AGUUCGUGGAGUAAUCUGUCUGGUUAAUUCCGAUAACGAACGAGACCUUAUCUUACUAAUUGGGGUAUGUAUUCUAUACAGUAUCUCUCUUAGAGGAACGGUGCAUAUUUAAUUGCAAGGAAGCGUGAGGCAAUAACAGGU
RNAcentral lists this ribosomal RNA (141 nucleotides) under uncultured eukaryote. Its description in RNAcentral is "partial small subunit ribosomal RNA". It matches the Rfam family "Eukaryotic small subunit ribosomal RNA", at positions 1296 to 1461 of the family's 1831-position model. The record is from RNAcentral.